AACGAACGCUGGCGGCAGGCUUAACACAUGCAAGUCGAACGCCCCGCAAGGGGAGUGGCAGACGGGUGAGUAACGCGUGGGAACAUACCCGUUUCUACGGAAUAGCUCUGGGAAACUGGAAUUAAUACCGUAUACGCCCUACGGGGGAAAGAUUUAUCGGGGAAGGAUUGGCCCGCGUUGGAUUAGCUAGUUGGUGGGGUAAAGGCCUACCAAGGCGACGAUCCAUAGCUGGUCUGAGAGGAUGAUCAGCCACAUUGGGACUGAGACACGGCCCAAACUCCUACGGGAGGCAGCAGUGGGGAAUAUUGGACAAUGGGCGCAAGCCUGAUCCAGCCAUGCCGCGUGAGUGAUGAAGGCCUUAGGGUUGUAAAGCUCUUUCACCGAUGAAGAUAAUGACGGUAGUCGGAGAAGAAGCCCCGGCUAACUUCGUG
This 431-nucleotide ribosomal RNA is filed under the name uncultured bacterium. RNAcentral's name for it is "partial 16S ribosomal RNA". It matches the Rfam family "Bacterial small subunit ribosomal RNA", at positions 29 to 507 of the family's 1533-position model. The record is from RNAcentral.